This 129-nucleotide small nucleolar RNA is filed under the name Prolemur simus (greater bamboo lemur). Its description in RNAcentral is "Small nucleolar RNA SNORA33 (ENSPSMG00000009426.1)". It matches the Rfam family "Small nucleolar RNA SNORA33". Rfam says of the family: ACA33 is a member of the H/ACA class of snoRNA that guide the sites of modification of uridines to pseudouridines. The record is from Rfam by way of RNAcentral. Lineage: Eukaryota; Metazoa; Chordata; Mammalia; Primates; Lemuridae.
AAGCCAGUCAAUGAAUCUGCUUACUGAAUGUGUUUCUGCAGUAAUUUUAAUAAAGCUGGCAAUAGUAAAGCCAUGGUACGAGCCUUAAGGACAUUGAAGUCUUUAAGGUCCCUGAAAAUGGCUAUAACA